RNAcentral lists this ribosomal RNA (480 nucleotides) under uncultured bacterium. Its description in RNAcentral is "bacterial SSU rRNA". It matches the Rfam family "Bacterial small subunit ribosomal RNA", at positions 28 to 496 of the family's 1533-position model. The record is from RNAcentral.
GAUGAACGCUAGCUACAGGCUUAACACAUGCAAGUCGAGGGGAAACGACAUUGGAAGCUUGCUUCCGAUGGGCGUCGACCGGCGCACGGGUGAGUAACGCGUAUCCAACCUGCCCACCACUUGGAGAUAACCUUGCGAAAGUAAGACUAAUAUCCCAUAUGAUGGCGAUCUGCAUGGAUUGUCAUUGAAAGAUUCAUCGGUGACGGAUAGGCUCGCGGGGCAUUAGCUAGACGGCGGGGCAACGGCCCACCGUGGCGACGAUGCCUAGGGGUUCUGAGAGGAAGACCCCCCACACUGGGACUGAGACACGGCCCAGACUCCUACGGGAGGCAGCAGUGAGGAAUAUUGGUCAAUGGGCGGAAGCCUGAACCAGCCAUGCCGCGUGAAGGACUAAGGCCCUAUGGGUCGUAAACUUCUUUAGACGCAGAGCAAUAAGGGUCUCGUGAGAUCCGAUGAGAGUAUGCGUAGAAUAAGCAUCGG